This 22-nucleotide small nuclear RNA is filed under the name Arabidopsis thaliana (thale cress). RNAcentral's name for it is "snRNA_07323". Lineage: Eukaryota; Viridiplantae; Streptophyta; Magnoliopsida; Brassicales; Brassicaceae. The record is from RNAcentral.
UCCUGCAUCUGCAAAACCUUAU